RNAcentral lists this ribosomal RNA (397 nucleotides) under Microbacterium sp. Its description in RNAcentral is "bacterial SSU rRNA". It matches the Rfam family "Bacterial small subunit ribosomal RNA", at positions 359 to 768 of the family's 1533-position model. The record is from RNAcentral. Lineage: Bacteria; Bacillati; Actinomycetota; Actinomycetes; Micrococcales; Microbacteriaceae.
GAAUAUUGCACAAUGGGCGCAAGCCUGAUGCAGCAACGCCGCGUGAGGGACGACGGCCUUCGGGUUGUAAACCUCUUUUAGCAGGGAAGAAGCGAAAGUGACGGUACCUGCAGAAAAAGCGCCGGCUAACUACGUGCCAGCAGCCGCGGUAAUACGUAGGGCGCAAGCGUUAUCCGGAAUUAUUGGGCGUAAAGAGCUCGUAGGCGGUUUGUCGCGUCUGCUGUGAAAUCCGGAGGCUCAACCUCCGGCCUGCAGUGGGUACGGGCAGACUAGAGUGCGGUAGGGGAGAUUGGAAUUCCUGGUGUAGCGGUGGAAUGCGCAGAUAUCAGGAGGAACACCGAUGGCGAAGGCAGAUCUCUGGGCCGUAACUGACGCUGAGGAGCGAAAGGGUGGGGAG